UAAAUACUACAGGAGAGCAGUGUCAAAAUAAUCUCCUGGCUGUCCUUUGACAGGCUAACUGAAGUGAACAUGAAGUUAUCAGCAAGGCCUUUUAAGCAAGGAGGGACCCUGAGCAGCAUGCCCGACCAUGAAGUUGCUUUCCUGGGUGCACAAAUGGGAGCUUCUGGUCAGUUUCAGAUAACUGCCUUUAAGUGGCAGGUCUGAAUAACCUCAUGGUAACCAAGGUCAUCUGAAUAACUUCAAUCCUCUGUAAAUACUGCACCACGGGAAAGGAAAACCUGCUCUACGAAGCUCUUUUUCUUGAUUAAGACCUCUGGAGUUCAACAGUAAGUCCUUGCUAAGUUCAGAUACCACUUAAGUGUAUUUAACUUCCAGUACUGUUAUGUCUGUGCUCACUAUGAUUUAUUUAUUUAUAUAUUUAUUAGCUUAGCUUGUUUUUUUAAGAAAUGAAGUAAAGAACAGUUAGGCAUCUGCUCUUGAACACUAAUGUUAUUUUUUCUGAAAUGUAAUGCAGUGUCAUCUUCUGGACUGUACUUUGUAUUCAAGAUCCCUUCACUAAUGUUUGUGCUGUGCAUUUUACAAAGGUGUUACUGAACUUGUAGGGAUAGACUUGUUCUUUUUUAAUAGCGAACCAUACUUAAGCCAAACAAAACAAACUUGCAGUCAUUUUUCUUUGGACUCACACCUCUUUAGUUGUGAUUGCAAGGCUCCUGUAUUGCUGGCGCUGACUGUGAUGGGUUUAGUUUCUCAGGGGCUGUAAUGUGAAAUAGAAGGUGUUACAAAAAUCAUUACUAUUAUACUUUGUUGACCCAAGCAGCACAACAUUCAGGCUUGCUUCACUUAUAAGGAGAAGGUGGAUAUAAUUCAUUGAUGUCAUUUCAUUUAUUUAUAGAAUCUGUUUUCCUGAAUGUAGGAACAAUUAAAUAGGGGCAUUUUGUGCUCAUGAGCUCAAGCCUUUUUCCUCUAGCUCCUGGCACAGAAGCCUCUUGCUGUUGAUUCUGAAACUGUGUUAAUCAUAUUAAGCAUUUUAUAGGAAUUUAGAGCAUGCUGGUCUUAGGAUGCUCAGCCUCAGUUUACUGCUGCAUGAAAAGAGUUUUAAGAUGGACAACUUGAUUUCUGUGAGGAAAGCAAUAGCCUUUGUGAAGCAUUUUAAUAUCUUUUCUUGGUAAUACCAGAAAUAGCAAAACUAAGCACUCGGCCAUGA
Molecule: long non-coding RNA, 1204 nt
Filed under: Anas platyrhynchos platyrhynchos (common mallard)
Lineage: Eukaryota; Metazoa; Chordata; Aves; Anseriformes; Anatidae
Description: lncRNA (ENSAPLG00000020268.1)
Source: RNAcentral